AGUGAACGCUGGCGGUAGGCCUAACACAUGCAAGUCGAACGGCAGCACAGUAAGAGCUUGCUCUUACGGGUGGCGAGUGGCGGACGGGUGAGGAAUACAUCGGAAUCUACUUUUUCGUGGGGGAUAACGUAGGGAAACUUACGCUAAUACCGCAUACGACCUACGGGUGAAAGCAGGGGAUCUUCGGACCUUGCGCGAUUGAAUGAGCCGAUGUCGGAUUAGCUAGUUGGCGGGGUAAAGGCCCACCAAGGCGACGAUCCGUAGCUGGUCUGAGAGGAUGGUCAGCCACACUGGAACGGGAACACGGUCCAGACUCCUACGGGAGGCAGCAGUGGGGAAUAUUGGACAAUGGGCGCAAGCCUGAUCCAGCCAUACCGCGUGGGUGAAGAAGGCCUUCGGGUUGUAAAGCCCUUUUGUUGGGAAAGAAAAGCAGCAGGUUAAUACCCCGCUGUUCUGACGGUACCCAAAGAAUAAGCACCGGCUAACUUCGUG
RNAcentral lists this ribosomal RNA (492 nucleotides) under uncultured bacterium. Its description in RNAcentral is "partial 16S ribosomal RNA". It matches the Rfam family "Bacterial small subunit ribosomal RNA", at positions 29 to 507 of the family's 1533-position model. The record is from RNAcentral.